RNAcentral lists this ribosomal RNA (328 nucleotides) under uncultured eukaryote. Its description in RNAcentral is "partial 18S ribosomal RNA". It matches the Rfam family "Eukaryotic small subunit ribosomal RNA", at positions 1470 to 1796 of the family's 1831-position model. The record is from RNAcentral.
CCCUUAGAUGUCCGGGGCUGCACGCGCGCUACACUGAAGGAAUCAGCGUGCUAAAACCAUUGUCGAAAGGCAUUGGUAAACCCAUUAAAAUCCUACGUGAUUGGGAUCGGGAAUUGCAAUUAUUUCCCUUGAGCGAGGAAUUCCCAGUAAGUGUGGGUCAUAAGCUCGCGUUGAUUACGUCCCUGCCCUUUGUACACACCGCCCGUCGCUGCCCGGGACUGAGCCGUUUCGAGAAAAGCGGGGACUGCUGCUGUCGGGGCUUUCGGGCCUUGGCUUCGGUGGAAACCGCUUUAAUCGCAGUGGCUUGAACCGGGCAAAANUCGUAACA